Molecule: long non-coding RNA, 7439 nt
Filed under: Panax ginseng (ginseng)
Lineage: Eukaryota; Viridiplantae; Streptophyta; Magnoliopsida; Apiales; Araliaceae
Description: long non-coding RNA (PGIN_LNC004876)
Source: RNAcentral
GCCUUUUCCUUUAUCUUUCCCGGACAUACCAACGCCCUCGAUUUUAACUGAAAACAUUAUAUUUAAUACAAGGGUGAGCAAAAGCUUGCUCGACAAGGAAAUAAGCAGUUGAAUAUAAUAGAACAGGAAUAUUUAUAGCAAUGAGGAUAAAAUUCAAUAGAUAUCGAACAAGAAAGUUUAUUUAACAGUUUCGAGUCUGAAAAUCAGGCUUUAGCAUGUUAUAAGGUCAAAUGACCAGUGAACUCUGUACUAGAAUUGACAGCACUAACACUGCAAUCUAUGAAUACAAACAGUUAUUGAAGCUGUUCUAUAUCCUAGACUUGUACUUUAGGGGAUUAGCCUAAGUAACUUACAUUGUGCACAACAUAACAGUCUAAUGACACUUUACAUGUUCUUCGGAAUCAUAUGUCUGAUACAAUAUGCCCCUAUAAAAUAGUUGUUCAUUCAUAGCAUUAUAUAAGAAUCCGCACCACAACAAAAUGGUUUGGAAAACAUUAAAUGAGAUUUUCAUGAAUAAUAUCAACGUGUCUCAACAGUUGUCUAACCAAAAUAAUGGCAUUGACAUUCUUUCAAUAUAAACUUAUUUAAGAGAGAAAGGUUCGAUAUACUUGAUAACAUUCUAACUAUUCUCUUGAAGCUGAUUUGAAUAAAAAGGUUAUUUAACCUUGUAUUAUUCAUAAAUAAUGAGCGACAGUUCAGAAUUUAGAGAACCUGUCCAUAUAUGAAUAAUUCUAGAAUACUUGCUCAAUAAAGAGUAAGAGUUAGAAACUUCUUUGGUUUGUGGAUUACUGAUACAGACUCAAUUUAAUUUGUGUGUUCUCUCAGGUCCUACACAAGUAUUUGUAUUUACAAGCAUAUUAGCCACAUAGCCAAGUCAUAUAGUUUGUAAGUUCACAUAUCACAUAGUUUUAGCGAUCAUGAUUGUAGUUUAGAAUCCUAUAUCUGAGAUAUUUUAUACAUUUUUCAAAUACCUCAUCCAUGUUUUCACAUUAGUCAUUUUUCUCUUUAAUAGGGUUCUGUAUGCUUUGUAAUAAGCAACCACCUAAUAAUUAUCAUUUACAUCCUAUUCAAGACUUAGAAUAUAGGUAUAUCAUAUUUCCUUAUUCAACUUCUAACCCACACGAAAAUUUUAUAGUGUAUCUUAUAUUUCGAAGGUAAUUUCAACCUGUAUGGUUAUCCCUUGUUGUUCUCAUGAUUUAAAGCUCCCUUUUUUGAUACACUAGUACAUCAAUUAUUCUUGUUUCUUCCUAUGUUGUUCAAACAGCCUUUUGAGAUUUAAAUACUUCGAACUUGACUUAACACCUGUUAUUUUUUGUUCUUUAUACAUAGCUCAAGUGCACAAGAGAAUUUACAAGUGCCUUUCAUGUUUCGGGGUAAUCACAAUUUUAUUGGGUAACUUAUAGAUCUUAUAACCUUUUGUAGCUUUAUUUUUUUUGUAUACAAAAGAGUAACAUUCUUGUCUUUCUUCUCUAUGUCAAAACAGCCUCUUUUUUGUUUAGGUUCAUCAAAAAACCCUCUUUAUUGCAUAACAGUGUCCGCUUGACCAGCCAUGUGGGAAACCAAGCUUUGCUUGGCCCUGUGGGUCUUUACUAAGCUUGGUGUGGCCUAGACUGGCCUCGCUAUCCCAAGCACAGUCUAACAGUCCCCAAACUCACCAUGUUUCUCCUUUACUAACUUUUGUAUAGAUAAUUUCUAAUGUACUAUGUGACACUUUUAAAUACUUGCUUACUUAAACAAGUAAAAAUUACACUAUUUAAUUCUUCAGUUUGCAUUUCUAAUCCAAAAUGUGUUGCCUAUAUCUGUUAUAACAUCUUAUUGUGGCUGCUUAUUAUUGCCUUAUAGCAACAACCCCCUAGUUUGUAAAAAAUUCCAAUUUCCAGGGUACUAAUUUAGUUGUAAGAGACUUUAGAUAAUUGUAAAUGAUAUCAUUACAUAGUAUGCUUAACCCAUGAACUGCAACAAUUUAUAAUAUAUAGUAGUCAAGAUAACUAUCAAAAUAGCCCUUUAAGGCUUUAACAAUCCCUUUCCACAUUCUUUUAUGUUUUGGAAUAUUCACAACUUGAUUAAGCAGUUUAUAGCCUCUAUAAAUACUUAUAGAUUUAUUACAGAAUGCUAAAUAUCAAACAUUCCCGUUGUUUCUUUUUAAUGCCAAACAGUCACAAUUUAAUCCAUUGGAUGGCACUCAAGCUUUGUGUGGCCACACUUGGCCUCAUGGCCCUAUUCGAACCUAGUAGCCAUAUCAUUGGCUCAAUAGCCCCAAGUACAAUAUAACUACUAAGUUAUUUAUAUAAGAUUGUAACUAUAUCAUUACUUCCCUAUGCAUACUUUUUUUUUUGGCAAUUAGUUAAUUUCUCAAAUUACAUUUUUAGUUUAAGCUAGAUUGCCCAAAACCACUUUAAAAACAGCUCAAAGCUGCAGCUCUCAUGCCAACUGCUGCUGCCUAAAGGCAGCAGCGACACUUGUUUUCUUUUCUUGCUUGAUCUCCCCAUAAUCUUGGUUCACUUGCACUUCACUUGAAGGUUACACAACUAAUAUAUUCAAUUAUUAGGGUAACUUAAAUUUAUAGCGAAACUAUAUCCUACAUGAACCAACAUGUUAGCUAAACUAACUCUUGCUAUUGUGAUUUAAUAAGGUCAGCUACAAAUGGCAACAGUUCCCAACCCUUAGCUUCCAUUUCUCUAGCUUUUAAUUUAUAAUUUAAUCAUUUUAGUGUGCAAAGGCCUUGGGGUUUUAUAUAAGUAAUAUAUUCACCUAUUUAGAAAUAUACAUACUAAUUUGUCUAGUUCCUUUAAUGCAUUGACUGAGAACUCAAGAGAGUCCCCGGCCCAUGCUAACUGUAACUGCCUAAAGGUAGCAGUCCACUUCUCUUUCCCCCUUAUCUUUAAAAGUUUACUAUCCUAUAAUAGUAACACCACCUUUGACAUGCUAUACUUGGUACACUCACCUUAGGAAAUAACACAUAAUUAGCAUGCCAAACUGUGUGUCGGCUCUGCAGCGCAGAGCAACACAGCGCUGGGAGCUGGCUGCUGUUGCCUGCAGCAGCUCGGCAGUUACUUAAUGUGACGCCCCCAAAAUAGGUAUACAUCACCCAUCUUGGGUCACCAAAUACAUGGUACUUAAUACAAAUACAAACUUAAUUAUACAACAUGAGCUGAGAGGUUUUACACGAAUAUUGUCAUCUAGACAAUAUCCAAACUCAAAUAGAGUUCUCAUUACAUUUAUCGGCAUACUAUUUUAUAGAAUAGUGAGGACUACUAUAACACCAUCUCGGGCAAUCACUCCGUUCCCCGACUAGUUCCGGCUACGUUCUCAUUUCCUGAAGAGAACAAUGGAAGUAAAAGGGUGAGUUCAACUAGCCCGGUAAGAAAUAUUAUGACUAAGAUAGUGCAGAAUAAGUUAUCAUUAGCCUUCAACAAUGUUAAACUGAUAGAAUAUAAUAGACAACAAGUUUAACUGCAGUGGAACAAGCAAUCCAUUAGAAGAGUCAAGUAGAGCAUGAUAUCUACUAUCUUCUAUGAUUUAAAAAGUUUAUCAAUAACUUUAUUGCUGGGACUCAACUUAAUAAAUAGAUCACAUCAUCGAAUCAUCCCUUCACUACGAGCCAAGGAUAUUCAUUAGUAUCACGUCCACAAAUUAUUCUUGCACUACGGGCCAAGAAUUAUUCGUGUAAUCAUCAAUGGUCAUGACUAUACCGAAUUAUCCCUGGUCAUAAUCAUACCAAUCUACAGUCCAUCUAUUCACGUAAGCCAAAGAUGACUUUCAUCACAAUAUAAUCAUGAGGAUGAUGACAAUGAUAUAAGAAUUCAAUUAAAAGAAAGCAAAGGAUAAUUUUUUAAAGAUUUAUAAUUUAAUUUAUCCAAAAUUCAAUAAUGUCCAACUUUUCAACAUGAUACUGCUUUGGACAUAAAAAAAAUAAAUUUUUUGGUGAAUAGUACCUCAUGAAUAGUACUUCAGGAAUAGUACCCCGUGAAUAGUAUCCCGAUAUGAAAAGUGGCCCAAAUACCCGAGUGAACAAUAUUUGAGUGUAGUAAUUAGGUGAAUAGUAACCCGUGAAUAGUAACUCGUGAAUAGUACCCCGAUAUGAAAAGUGCCACGAAUACCCGAGUGAAUAAUAUUAUAGUGAAUAGUAACCAGGUGAAUAGUAACCCAUGAAUAGUAACUCAUGAAUAGUACUUCGAGUAAAAAUAUUGAUAUUUAAUAAAAAAGUUCAUAUCAAUAUUCCAAUAAAAUAAUAUUGGAUAAUGCGCAAAACUCACGGAUGUUCCACUAAUUUCAAGGAUUAUAGAAGCAAUACUUACCAUAGUAAGUUUAGAUUUAAGAAUAUGAAAAGAAUUAACAUACGAAAACUGCAAAUGGAUUUUCACCUAUCAUACGGUACGUAAUCCGCGUAGACAGGUUAUUCCGACAUACUAAAGGAUGAAUACGAAAAAUAGUAUUCCUUAUGAAUACGAAAGAAAUAAUACCAUUUACCUUAGUAGAAAGCUGGAUACUGCAAAAGUGAAGUAGGAGAAUACUCUUCUUCUUGCUCUCUAUAGUUUCUCUCUCUAUAGUGUCUCUUGUGAAUCUCAGUGAAUUGGUGAGAAUGAAAGAAGAAUUAAGCUUCUAUUUAUAGGAGAAUGGACUAAAUAGUAACUAAUUCACGAACGGUCCAGAUUGAUUCACUAUUAAAACGGACGGUCCAUAUUGAUUACUAUUAAAACCACAACCGACGGUCCAGAUUGAUUUACUUUUAAAACCACCACUGACGGUCCAGAUUGAUUUACUUUUAAAACCACCAUCAAUGGUCCAGAUUGAUUUACUAUUAAAACCACCACCAAUUGUCCAGAUUGAUUUAACUUAUCACACUUUAGUACCCCUAAAGUUUUCCAAGUUUGCAUUAUUCCCCUCUAACUUUUAUAAUUCACUUAUCUUCAAUAAACGCAUUCUUAAUACUUCAACAAUUAUUUAUCAUUAAUAUUAUAACUCACAAUAUUUAACAACCAGAUCAUUCCCAGAAAAGAGGGGGCUUUCCAAUAAGGAUUUCUCUCUAUUGGCGCGCAAUUAGGUGACCAAACCUCUCCUCGACAGAACUUUCUAGACAUUGUCAAUAUUGCAAAUAAUAAUAUGAAUAACUUUGUUGUCUCAAUUAUUGAUUUAAUAAUAUAAAAUAUUAUGCAGAUGAUACUGUGACAAUAAUUGAAUCAAUAAUAUGAGAGAUAUGAUGCAGCAAUUACUGUAGCAAUAAUUGAGUAUAACUGAGUGACUUCUCACGUAAGCAUCAAUAAUCAAUACCGUGUGCUACUAUGCAACCACGCGUAUUACUGUACUUUUACCACCGGGUAGUUCAACAGUUUAACGGUAAAACUUCCGCUGUUAUUUUUAUAAAAAGAUAUUUAUGUCAUUUUCUAACUAAGAUAAUACUUCCGUUGUGGAGUCCACCAAUGAUUGUGCCGUCGUACGAAUAUUCCCUGCUAAAACGAAUAUUCCCCGACCAAUCGAAUAUUCACUGACACAACGAAUAUUUUAUAUCAACUUGCUUACUUUGCAAAAUUUUUCAAAUAUUACCCACAACUAUAACAUUAUAUCAUAUCCACACCAUAAUAUUCAAAAAUAUAUUUCGAGAAAAAUUAAUCUUUAUAAAAAAAAGUUGGGGUCUUACACUUAACAUAUACCAUUCUCCCUUUUUUGUUGUACUUUUAAGUUUAUGAUAUGCAAUCUGGUUUAGGCCUAAGUCCUGGUAUAGCGUAGUGACCAUGACUACUUACUAAGGUGAUGACUCGGACUACCAAAUAGAAUUCAUUUUGCUGCCAAAGUAAUGAUAACAAGAAUAGCUUGUCACAUUGAUUCUUUAGUUUAUGUUUUGGCUUAAACUAACUUUUCAUUACUCAAAACACUUUUAUUAACCAUACAUGUGUUAACUAAAUCAGGUUCAAUAGCUUUCCAACCUUGACAAAUAAUAUGAACAAUGUAUUUACAUAGUAUGUAUAAAAAUAACAACCCAAAUUGGGUUCUUAAAUACAUAAUUUCUCUGUUUCCACAUAUUCCUUUAGCAUUCAAGGUUCAUCCCUUGCUUUUAUAACCACUUGGAUUUAUUCACUCAUCUUAGCUAACCACAUAAAACACAUAUAAUUAUUGCACUUUUAUUAUCAAACAACUAAAAUAUUGAACAUACCAUUAAAGUUUAGUUUUACCGAAUUGCUAGCUUAUUUGAUAAGUUUAUAAGUUUCCUUUACUGCUGUAGAUUUUGAUUUCCAUCUCCUUUGUUUGGUUGAGUUGAAAUUUUAAAGCUACCAUAGAUGAGACAUUCACUUAAUAUUGAGGUAUAUUAGUUGGGCAAGUUUGGUUAGUUCAAAUGGACUGACCGAGAGCCAAGGAAGCCCCCAGUCAUUGACUGUCAUGGUGACUGCUGCUGCCGUGGGCAACAACCUUGCUCUAGACACUUAACAAUCUAACAACUUUUGAUUCAUUCGUCAUACAAUAGCAUAUUUUUAGAGUAUAUUAUACAUUGCAUACAAGGCUAUAUUUACUGAUUAUAAACUACCUACUUUGGAAUCUUCAAAUUACCCAAAAUAAUGCCCAAAAUUACUAGGCAUAGUGGAUUCCCAACUUUUCAUUUGGCUUAACAUCAUUUUCUUUUCAGUUUAACUUACUUAAAUCUCUUUAUUAACUGAAUAAAGUGAUCUACAUACAAACUUUGCUUUGGCUUCUACUUUUUUUUGAUUUUAAUCAAAACAGUCCAUUGAGGACUUUUAACAAACACCCUACGUGCACUAUUCUGUGGCACAGGUUUCAUAGCUAUUUACUUACUCUUUAACUCCAAUAAGUCACCUUAUAACACCUCAACCAACCUAUCUCCUUGUGCCUAAACCAAGCAAUAAAAAUAAAAUAACUUAAGAAGAGUCGGGCCUAAUAGUUAUCAUAGCAACAAUAUCCAUAUAGCAGUCAUUAAUUCUAUUGCAAGCCCUCCGACCAUUACAAUCCAUUAGUAGCCAGGAAAUGGAAUGGAAAGGAUUGGAGAGCUUACCUUAAUAGUUCAGAGGUUGUAAUAAGUUAUUGUUCGAUUUCUUCUCCUUCUCUCUAUGUGUGUUUUAGUUUUGAAGCUUAGUUGAUAGUAUAUCAGCUGAGUUUGAGGUUCUUUGUAUGUCUAUAUGUAGCUAAGAAGGAAAGGGGUAGCCAUCAUGGCUCUACAUAGCGGUUACUACAUUACUCUGACAGCCUAAGUCAGUUGCCCCUGCUCAUUUGAUGCACUCCCUCUUGGACCCUAUGCAGUCUCCUUAUCUGGCCCCUAACUUGCAACCUAUAUUGGCCUCUAUAAGUCUCAUGGUAGCCUACCUCUGUUAGCAACUACUUUGACCCCUAUUUUUACCUGACAUACUGGCUAAUACAGUGAUUUAGCCUCCCAACAGUUAGCUUAGGUAUUCUAGAGGUCAACCAACCUGCUAACUAACUGUCAAUUUGAG